Molecule: ribosomal RNA, 253 nt
Filed under: uncultured bacterium
Lineage: Bacteria
Description: partial 16S ribosomal RNA
Rfam family: Bacterial small subunit ribosomal RNA
Source: RNAcentral
UACGUAGGGUGCAAGCGUUGUCCGGAAUUAUUGGGCGUAAAGAGCUCGUAGGCGGUUUGUCGCGUCUGCUGUGAAAACCUAAGGCUCAACCUUGGGCUUGCAGUGGGUACGGGCAGACUAGAGUGCGGUAGGGGUGACUGGAAUUCCUGGUGUAGCGGUGGAAUGCGCAGAUAUCAGGAGGAACACCGAUGGCGAAGGCAGGUCACUGGGCCGCAACUGACGCUGAGGAGCGAAAGCGUGGGUAGCGAACAGG